Molecule: microRNA, 21 nt
Filed under: Gadus morhua (Atlantic cod)
Lineage: Eukaryota; Metazoa; Chordata; Actinopteri; Gadiformes; Gadidae
Description: gmo-miR-11252-5p
Source: miRBase by way of RNAcentral
AUCGUUUCGAGCCGCUCUAGU